This is a long non-coding RNA of Cuculus canorus (common cuckoo), 3581 nucleotides long. RefSeq lists it as uncharacterized. Lineage: Eukaryota; Metazoa; Chordata; Aves; Cuculiformes; Cuculidae. The transcript is spliced from 8 exons. The record is from RefSeq and is a predicted model, not a curated record.
AAUAUAUCAUUGAACACCACUAUGCACUAUUAUUUACUGUGAAGAAUUCUUUAUACUGAGCCAGACUAUAGCAACUAAAACGGUUCUUUUAUCAAUAAGAAGAGUGCUACGCCUACCUGAGACUUGAUCUGCUCACUUCUUCCUUUGAUGUUCCUCACUCUGCACCAGGGGUCACAGUGCUGGCAGACAUGCCAUGAGAUUGUUAAUGAUCAGCACCUAUAAAUCCUCAUGGGCAGUGAAAUGCUGGAUGGGAGAGAGACUGUUUUCAACAAUAGCUGAUGUCUGCAUCAGCAACAAAAACAGUCUCUGAGCACUGGCAUCAAGGAGCAUUUGAUGUGAACAAAGUGACAUCUUGUUUCAUCAAAGGUUAAUGAGUACAGCAGCUCUGUCAGCAAUACAUUAAGACAGCAGUGUCACUGUUCGUCAUACUUGGAUUCAGAUAACAUUUCAUCGUCUCAUGUGCGACUGGCUUCCAAGAGCCAUCACCAAAGCCAAGGAUCGGAAACUUCUUUCUGCUUGGGAGCUGCCUGGGUGAGCAUCCCAUCACAUUUGCUAAAGAUGAAGCUAGCUUCAAGUUCGAAGAUACUAUUUUAGCAAGUCCAUUCUCUGAUUUUCAAAACAAAUGGAAUGAAGGCAGUGGUUCUAUCUGACCAUAUUGCCUACCUCCUGUCAUAAGUUUUCACUAUGACUAGCUCUGGGACAGGAUCAUCUUGCCCGCAUAUAGCUUAGCACAACUGAGACCUGACCCAUGACGAAGGUUCUGAAUCCUGAAUAUCAUAAUAGAGAGUCAAAAAACUUCUAGAUGCUCUUCUGUUACCAUUGACUGGCUGUACAUGAUCAGAUAUACAUUGCCAUAUGGCAAGAGAAAAGUCAAAACGACAGACUGACUGGAGAUUUGAACACAGGGCUGCUUGUGAGGCCACAUGUGAGAAACGUGCUUUUAAGGACAAGAGAACUAAACUGCUGGACGUACACAGGGAAAGGAAAGAGGCCACACAUACUGGCUGCAGCCAAGGAAAUUACAAUUAGAUGUUAAGAAAUUUGUUUUCACCAUGUGAGUAGUGACAGACUGGAACAGGCACCCAGGGAGACUGAGGAGACUCCAUCCUUGGGGAAGUUAAAAAAUUGACUGUACGCAGACCUGAGUAAACCAAGUUAUCUUUGCAGCACGACCUAACUUCCCAGUUGGACCUACUCUAACACGGCUGUUGGGUCAGGCAGCCUCCAGAGAGAGGCCCCUUCCAGAGUGUUAUUCCCUGAUUCUCAAAGACAGCUGCUGUGAGGCAGCUAUCUUAGAAAAGUGUCUCACAAGAAACAGGGUCUGAUCUUAACAACAGCAACAACAAAUAAAGGGUUAACUUGCAGAUGUUUCUCUCUGGGCUCCGUAUGCCAGUGUGGUAUUAAGAAAAUUUGCCCCAGAAUUGUUGUGUAUGCUGUCAAUCUGCAAAAACAUUCUUUAGUUUUAUAGUCUCAAAUGGAAGUUAUUUGGAAACACUUUACAGGAAAAGGAACAUACAGGUCUAGGUUUUUUGCUUGUACUGAUAUACUAGAGACCCCCUUCUUUACACUUGCACUGGAACAGAAUAAUUCUGAGUUGAAGAUUGUUUCUUUUUGUUUGUUUGCUUUUGUUUUUAACAUCCCUAAAAGCUUCCUAGUGUUAGAACUAACAACAAACAAAUAGAAAACUCAAACAGGAUCUGAGCUUCAUGUUACAUUUUCAUUCAGCAUCUGCAAACUGAUCUUGACAAAGCAGGGCAUUUAUUUAGAAAUAGUUUGGAUUCUAAACAAACAAGUGAAGAGUUAGAAGAUGCUCUUAAGGCAUACAAACAGCACAUUAAGUAGGCACUGACCUAGACUUGGAAAUCAUGCUCUAAUUCUCUGCACAAAUACCCUAAAGCACCUUGGUCAAGAUAUUUUGGUUUUCUCCGCCUCACUUCUCUCCCAUAAGAAGGAAAUUGAUAUCACUUUUCUGGCACUCUUUUCCUUUCUAAAUACACAGGUUCCAACAGGAAAGGAUCUCUGUCCUGUUGCAGUGAACUACAAUGCAGUCAAGUUAUGAAAAACCUGAAAGCAUGACUAUCACAUGAUGAACAGAAACAGAGAGAAAGAAAAAGAACAAGUACUCAUCUGCAACUAUAUUCUUGGUUUUACUUAAUUGAAAAGCUGGCAACUCUUGGAUGACCAAGGCUUUUCUUGAAUCCUUACGCAGUAUGAUCUGUCUGUGAGCUGUGCUGUCCAGACUGUGUCUAUGAGUAUGAAAUAAAGGUCUCCUCCCUCUGGGGUAGCUUCUUUUACAAGAAUCAACAAAUCAACAAAUCCUACCCUCACUGAGAUCCAGAUUCAGAAACACAAUCAGCAGAAACCUCAAACAAGGACAGGGCAUGGUCUCAUGUGGAGUUACGUCAUCAAUUAGUUUUGUCACAGUUUGUAUAGAUCUGCAGAGCUGGCUUUGGAUUAUUAUGCCUUAAGACACUGCGUGCAGAUAACACUUUGCAGAGUGUAAAUGUAAGCACUUAAAUAAAUGUGAAAGGCAGAGUAAGCAUAUUAUGGAAGGGAUGUUUUGUCAGUGCUGGUUUGGUUUCCAGCUUUGUUCUUGAGAACAUUAGGCCUCCAGGUGAAGAAUUCCCUCAUCUCCCCUCAAAGCAAGCCUUCUCCUUGCCUUUGUCUGUACAUUCCUAGACAUUUUAUAAUCCAAGCUGUAAUACAUACUAUCUGGAAGCAAUGGCAACAGAAAGGGCCUGCCUGCCAGUGUGUCCUGGCUGAUGUAAAAGAACAAAUCCUCCAUUGUUGCCCAAGCGCCCUAUGUCAAUACAAUAAAAUCACUGUCUUCUGUACUCAAGGUUACAUUUGUUUACGAUUACAAUGUUUAUUUCUUGCUGUGAGACUAUAAUUGCGCAUGCUCUUUCUUCUGUUAAAAACAUUUUUCCACCCCCAGCCUGUUAAUCCUUUUCCCACCCCCCACCCACUUCUCAAUGUGUAGCAGAGGAGGAAAAUUCUUUUGUGAAUAUGUAAAAUAUCAUGUUUCUUUUUUAAGCAUAUUAAUAAUAGGUUAUAACACCAUGCCUGCAGUGACAACAUCUAAAUACAAAAUGUAUUUAAGUGCUUGAUUUUUUUUUACUUAACAUAAAGGAAAUUAAAGCUGUGUAUUUUUUUUGGUUGAGAUGGUACUGAAACCACUACAAGUACCAGGAAACUUAGGUUUUAUCCCGGUUUCUCCCACUUGCCCUAUAAUUCUGUAGCAAGUGUCUCUUUCUGCUUGUGCCUUCCAACCCCAAACAGAAAAUACCAUACGAUAUUUUUUUCCAAAGUGCUCUGAAACUCAAGAAUGGAUCAAUUCAAACACGUUGUUGGUUUAGAUUAAGAUGUCCAUGUCCAAAAUUUGCAGUGUGCUCUCUAGUGCAAUCAACUGCUCAACAAACGAUGCAGGAUGCAGUACUGUCAACAUCUGUACCAGUGAAAAUCUAUCCUCCAUUAGACUCCUGCCAGAAGAAUAAUUAAAAGUUUUCUGCAGUUUCCCUUGGGAGUGAUAAGCCUCGCUUCCGUGGUUUGAUAAAAUCCUGACUGGGGUCAGGAUGAAUGAA